GACGAACGCUGGCGGCGUGCCUAACACAUGCAAGUCGAGCGAACAGACGAGGAGCUUGCUCCUCUGACGUUAGCGGCGGACGGGAGAGUAACACGUGGAUAACCUACCUAUAAGACUGGGAUAACUACGGGAAACCGGAGCUAAUACCGGAUAAUAUAUUGAACCGCAUGGUUCAAUAGUGAAAGACGGUUUUGCUGUCACUUAUAGAUGGAUCCGCGCCGCAUUAGCUAGUUGGUAAGGUAACGGCUUACCAAGGCAACGAUGCGUAGCCGACCUGAGAGGGUGGUCGGCCACCCUGGAGCUGAGACAGGGUCCAGACUCCUACGGGAGGCCGCAGUCGGGAAUCUUCCGCAAUGGGGGAGAGCCUGACAGAGCAACGCCGCGUGAGUGAUGAAGGUGUUCGGAUCGUAAAGCUCUGUUAUUAGUGAAGAACAAAUGUGUAAGUAACCGUGCACGUAUUGACGGUACCUGGUCAGAAAGCCCCGGCUAACUACGUG
This 497-nucleotide ribosomal RNA is filed under the name uncultured bacterium. Its description in RNAcentral is "partial 16S ribosomal RNA". It matches the Rfam family "Bacterial small subunit ribosomal RNA", at positions 28 to 507 of the family's 1533-position model. The record is from RNAcentral.